GGCCCAACACAAUUGAUUAUGUACCCAAGUUAUUUUAGUGGUACAUGCAAACAUUAUCUUCAUUACUCAUACUUGGAUCGUAAUUACAAACUUGUUUACAAAAACUAUAAAGCUAAAAACUGAAUGCAUAUCCGUCAUGAUAUGAAACUAUUUCUAUCUGACAAAUGUAGCUCGAGAUUUAUCCAAUUGAAGUAGUCCGUAGAAUAUUAUUGUCGCGUCUAUUCCUACAACAGUUCAGUCAUAAUUCUACGGAUUCUUCUUGUUUACCAUGGUGCACUUCUUGAACUUGGCACAACCAUCUUUGCUCUAGAUUACAAAGACACCUGCACUGAAAGACGAUGGUAGAACACUUGGGUCAGAUGUAGGUAUAUAUUAUAUGUCUUAUGAAAUUAUAAAAAAUUACUAACAAAGUUACAAACUAUCAGUUGUGACAAAUAACACAAAACAUGGCCCAAGUGACCCUCUAUCUUCAUUUCUUAAAAAUAACCUGAGAUCUAUGGGUCUGAUAAGGGUAUAUUAAGUGCAUAAGAGCCUCAUAUCAUUCAAAAUCAAACGGCUUUGGUCCCCCUCUAAUUUCUAUUAUGUCGAAUUUAAUUCAAUUUUACAUUCUUAGAAGGAUUCAUAGCUAUCGAACGUAAUUCAAAAUAUUACUCCUAGAAGAAUUCACAACCGCAGAUUAUAGAUUCCCGCAAGAAGAGUAUAGAUGUUAGCAUCAUCUACUUUACAUCUCAAUAUAACUACACAUAAUUGUUAUUUUGGGUGACCAAUGGCAAGAUCAUUCACAUCCCCGACAUGAGCAUCAAUAUCUUCAAACAUGAUAUAUGUUAUCUUACAAAUAAAUUUUGUUGAUAUUUAAGCAUGCCAUAACAUUCUAACCCAAAAUCUCAAAUAACUAGAUGUAUUGAGCUUUCCAACAGACCAUUUAUUUUCUUGAUAAGUGAGAGUUUUAUAAAGAUGAUCAAGAUGACAAAGCGAAAGAAAAUUCUUUAACUCACAACACAAAAUCAGGGGACCUAAACCAUACAAAUAUUCAUGAAAUUUGUAGUGCUUCACCAUAAAUUGUACUAUUAUACAUCUAUAACUUCGAGUAACAUAUCAGUUCAGUUAUAAAUCAAUCAUUCAACCUCAUCAUUCUCACAAUGUUAAUUAUUAUAUAGUAUUAAUGCUUAGUAAAUUGUAGAAUUGGUGCCCCAAAUCUUAAAGUUCUUAGACUAUGGCACUUCUGAAAAAGUGACUUUUGUUAAUAUGUAAUUUUCGAAAUACAGAAAAUACUGCUAAUUAUUAUUACUGACAUUGUAUAUAGGGAUUUGAAAGUAAGUGAUUUUUAGCCUAGCUUGCACAUGACAAAUCAAAGAUAUAAAUAAAUCUAAAAUAACUAAGUCAAGAGUACAAGCAUGUUUGUGUUCUUUUCUUUUUUUCUUUCCUAAAAGGUGCUCAUAGUUGAGUAUCAUCUUCAACUUCAGAUAUGUGCUAUUUUAGCAGCAUAUAAGUGAAGCUCACAGAAACUAAAACCGUUAGCCGAUUUUGAUGGUCUAAUGGAUACAACAUCCUGAUUCUUUCAGAAGUUCACAAAGUUCUUAUUCAAAUAAAUAAAGCUACAUUUUUCACAAAGUACAAUCUUCAAGAAAAUGACUUUAUCAAACAAACUAAAUAAAUUACGGCUAAAUAAAAAGCUUUAAACCUAAACCCAAGAUAAAAGGCAUGUAAUUUGAAGUUCCUGUUAAAUGGAAUGUAGCUUAUUGACUGCUGUGUGCAUACUUUGAAGGGAAAUGAACAAGAAAGCCUUGAAGGUCUGAAAAAUAUGUUCAUAUCAGGGUCUUCGAUUUCUAGAGACUUUUGGUACACUUAUAAGGAGUUAUUAGUAUAGGUGUUUGAGAGUUUUUUUAGAGAACCUUUUAUUUCUUGCUUAUCUUUGGUUGUGUAGGAGUGUACAAUUUCUUUAAUUUUUCUAAGACAAUGUUAAUCCUAUCCAAAUAAUGUAUGUUACUAAAGUAAAUAAAAUCAAUAUAAAUUAAAAUUCAAGAAAGUCGGAAUGUCUUCCUAUCACCAUAACCUUAAAGAGCCAAGGGGAUGGGUUUCUUCAUAGUAAAUUGCAAUUCUCCAUCCAUCACGAUUGAAGAAUAGAUUGCAUUCAAUUGUUACCUAAUUCUACAAAUACCAAUAAAAGUAUUUCACUAUAACCAACAAAAGGUAUAAUAUCAUCCACUAAUUUUUUAUUCAACAAUAUGAUGAGAAGUAUAAUACAAACGAAAAUUGUAUUCAGUUCACUAAUUGACAAUAUCCACACAACACUAUUAAAUACUGAACGACACCCAUAUAUUUUACGAGCAGUUAAGAGACUUUGAUUAACAAAUGAUGGGUAGAUGUAGAAGUUAAAAUACAGUGACAACAACACCUGAAACAGCUACAGUACAAGUAGCGUGGUUGUUAUCGCUGAUUGUCAGUACCAGAGUUUGAUGGAGAAUAAGUGGGAAUGCUCUCCAUCAGCGGUUUAUUGGUGAAGAUUCUCAACUUUUUUCACUUGAGAGAGAGUUUUGGAAGAUUUCGCGGACAAUAUCGAGUAACACAACUUCACCUUUUCAUAUGCUUUUAAGCUACACUUAUGGGGGUGUUGGAUACGGAGAAAACAUUUCAAUUUUACUGUUUCAUUCCAAAAUUUAGAUGGGUAAUUGAAUCCAGACUACCAUGUUUGAUAACUCAUCCAUAACCUCUAGCAAUUGAUAUGGGGUGUAUGCUUAUGAAUAAACAAACACAAUUGUGAACUCUUUAGUAGAUCAGCCAGUAAUUAGUAAUAUAUAUUAUUUUCUUCUAAAUAAAUCAACAAUUACAUCAGUCAUGUAGUUCAGUCGUAAAUUUGGAAGAGAGCAUACCUGGAAUUAUGAAGACUUGUGAAUCGAUUUACUGAAGUUGGAACAAAAGGGAUGGAAUAAAGGGUGCUUUUUUGCCGAGUGUUUGUGCUUGGAAAAUGAGUUAGAAAUCUGUUGUUUGGAGUGUGAAAGACGGC
Molecule: long non-coding RNA, 3004 nt
Filed under: Solanum lycopersicum (tomato)
Lineage: Eukaryota; Viridiplantae; Streptophyta; Magnoliopsida; Solanales; Solanaceae
Description: long non-coding RNA (SLYC_LNC000552)
Source: RNAcentral